GCGGCGAACGGGUGAGUAACACGUGGGUGAUCUGCCCUGCACUUCGGGAUAAGCCUGGGAAACUGGGUCUAAUACCGGAUAUGACCUCCUAUCGCAUGGUGGGUGGUGGAAAGAUUUAUCGGUGCAGGAUGGGCCCGCGGCCUAUCAGCUUGUUGGUGGGGUAAUGGCCUACCAAGGCGACGACGGGUAGCCGACCUGAGAGGGUGACCGGCCACACUGGGACUGAGACACGGCCCAGACUCCUACGGGAGGCAGCAGUGGGGAAUAUUGCACAAUGGGCGAAAGCCUGAUGCAGCGACGCCGCGUGAGGGAUGACGGCCUUCGGGUUGUAAACCUCUUUCAGCAGGGACGAAGCGCAAGUGACGGUACCUGCAGAAGAAGCACCGGCUAACUACGUGCCAGCAGCCGCGGUAAUACGUAGGGUGCAAGCGUUGUCCGGAAUUACUGGGCGUAAAGAGUUCGUAGGCGGUUUGUCGCGUCGUUUGUGAAAACCAGCAGCUCAACUGCUGGCUUGCAGGCGAUACGGGCGGACUUGAGUACUGCAGGGGAGACUGGAAUUCCUGGUGUAGCGGUGAAAUGCGCAGAUAUCAGGAGGAACACCGGUGGCGAAGGCGGGUCUCUGGGCAGUAACUGACGCUGAGGAACGAAAGCGUGGGUAGCGAACAGGAUUAGAUACCCUGGUAGUCCACGCCGUAAACGGUGGGCGCUAGGUGUGGGUUCCUUCCACGGAAUCCGUGCCGUAGCUAACGCAUUAAGCG
Molecule: ribosomal RNA, 758 nt
Filed under: uncultured bacterium
Lineage: Bacteria
Description: bacterial SSU rRNA
Rfam family: Bacterial small subunit ribosomal RNA
Source: RNAcentral